Molecule: ribosomal RNA, 478 nt
Filed under: uncultured bacterium
Lineage: Bacteria
Description: partial 16S ribosomal RNA
Rfam family: Bacterial small subunit ribosomal RNA
Source: RNAcentral
GACGAACGCUGGCGGCGUGCUUAACACAUGCAAGUCGAACGGUAAGGCCCUUCGGGGUACACGAGUGGCGAACGGGUGAGUAACACGUGGGUGAUCUGCCCUGCACUUCGGGAUAAGCCUGGGAAACUGGGUCUAAUACCGGAUAGGACUCCGGACUGCAUGGUCUGGGGUGGAAAGCUUUUGCGGUGUGGGAUGGGCCCGCGGCCUAUCAGCUUGUUGGUGGGGUGAUGGCCUACCAAGGCGACGACGGGUAGCCGGCCUGAGAGGGUGACCGGCCACAAUGGGACGGAGAUACGGGCCAGCCGCCUGCGGGAGGCAGCAGUGGGGAAUAUUGCACAAUGGGCGCAAGCCUGAUGCAGCGACGCCGCGUGAGGGAUGACGGCCUUCGGGUUGUAAACCUCUUUCAGCAUCGACGAAGCGAAAGUGACGGUAGGUGCAGAAGAAGGACCGGUCAACUACGUGCCAGCAGCCGCCGUAA